This 497-nucleotide ribosomal RNA is filed under the name uncultured bacterium. RNAcentral's name for it is "partial 16S ribosomal RNA". It matches the Rfam family "Bacterial small subunit ribosomal RNA", at positions 28 to 507 of the family's 1533-position model. The record is from RNAcentral.
GAUGAACGCUGGCGGCGUGCCUAAUACAUGCAAGUCGAGCGAACAGACGAGGAGCUUGCUCCUCUGACGUUAGCGGCGGACGGGUGAGUAACACGUGGAUAACCUACCUAUAAGACUGGGAUAACUUCGGGAAACCGGAGCUAAUACCGGAUAAUAUAUUGAACCGCAUGGUUCAAUAGUGAAAGACGGUUUUGCUGUCACUUCUAGAUGGAUCCGCGCCGCAUUAGCUAGUUGGUACGGUAACGGCUUACCAAGGCAACGAUGCGUAGCCGACCUGAGAGGGUGAUCGGCCACACUGGAACUGAGACACGGUCCAGACUCCUACGGGAGGCAGCAGUAGGGAAUCUUCCGCAAAGGGCGAAAGCCUGACGGAGCAACGCCGCGUGAGUGAUGAAGGUCUUCGGAUCGUAAAACUCUGUUAUUAGGGAAGAACAAAUGUGUAAGUAACUAUGCACGUCCUGACGGUACCUAAUCAGAAAGCCACGGCUAACUACGUG